CAUAAAUUUACAAGAACUUCCACGCAUAUAUUUUUAACACUAAAUAUUUAUUCGUAUAUCGAUAAAAUAGUUUUAUUAGGAUAUAAUUAUUAAUUAAAAUACCUCUAGGAUAGAUAUUUUUUUUAAAGUAAGAUAAUUUUGAAUGAGAUUAAAGGACUGGGUUCUAUGAUAUUUUAACACAAUAUUUUUAAUAAUUUGAUUGAUUGACAUGUAAAAAAUUCUAGUAAACAAAACAAAUAUUUUCUCUUUAUUUUCUUUAUUAUUUAUCUUCUUGCAUCAUGGAAACAACAUCUCAUAUGCCUCCGCAGCCACGCGAGCGACAGCCACCUCCGGAGCCCCGGGUACGUCAGCCUCCACCACCACCACGGCGUGCAACCGCGCAGCCUCCACCCCAGCCAAGAGAGCGCCACGCGCCCCCUGCGCCCCGGGAGAGGAUACCACCACCUCCCCCAAAACACUGAUCCCAGAUCUCGACAACUAUGUAGAAAUAUCAGGGAAUGCUUUUGACAUUAGAAAUUAAUAGUGGGCUCAUACUAUUAUAUUUUUUUCAGUCUAUGAUAACCCAAAUAAUCCAAAGCAUUUCCUGGUGUAACUGCUCAUUAAUGUUUUAUUGUCUUUCUUACUAAGGAUAUUAUGAGUAAUAUGAUCCAUGUGUUAUAUAUGACUCAUACUAGGAUAAUGCAGCUGUUGUUGAUAAAGAAAUCAGCAGAAUAUAUUUUGCUGAUGUUUGUGUGAACAAGAAACGUUGUACAACUGUUUUAUAUACAUAUUUUGUACUUUUUUUAUUAAAAUGUUUAUAAGACUUUGGCUUUAUAGAUUCUCAAGAGUAAAAUAAUAUACCAACUAUAAUGUGAUUAGCCACUUUUUCUCAUAAUUAUCUGUAUCUGUCAUACCUUGCUGAGAGCUUAGCAAAUUUUUUUUAAUUUGGGGAAUAACCUAUUUCAAUAAUAAUAUUUUUCGGUUGAGGGUAUUUACCUAAAAUCUUGGUCAAUUUCCUGUAACUUUUUUUGGUAUAAAUAAGAGACAAAUACCUACACAGGGUUUUUGCUCCAUUAUAAAUGAAUCAUGAUAAUAACCAUGAGCAAUAAUUUUAGUAGAAUGAUGCUAGCUGUGUCAGAUAAUAUAUUUCAACACUAAUGUAGUAGACGCUUGCGUGGGCGAAGGAUGUUCAUAAUCUAAACGUGAUAACUUACAAAAUCCUCAGUUUGUUCGCUUCUCUCUGAACAUUAGGUAUCUAGUUAGUGACAAACAAACUUAGAAAAAUGUAUCGUCGAUUGUUCCUGAUAUUAAUGUUGUUUGUGUGCGUUGUGUUUUGUCGCCCGAAUGUUGCGAGGCAGGAAAAAGUUCUUAUGAAUCCACAAGCAGUACGUAAGAGCAAUGCGCUGUUCGCCUUCGCUGAUGACUCCCCGGUGAGCAACUCCUGCCCUGAUGGAUUUCAAAUGGACAUCUCUGGAGUCUGUCGGGAGGUGUGGUAUGAUGAAUACGACAAUUAGACAAAAUACUACGCGACAAAAUACGAGAUAGACCUCGAAUUCGCUGUCGACAUAUCGACCGAGGAGAUGAACAUGGACAAUCAUUAUAUGUCUAUCUAUAUAUUGAUUCUAUGUUGAAUAACAAAAGUUUUUAUUAAACUUGUAACGAUUUA
This is a long non-coding RNA of Helicoverpa zea (corn earworm), 1645 nucleotides long. RefSeq lists it as uncharacterized. Lineage: Eukaryota; Metazoa; Arthropoda; Insecta; Lepidoptera; Noctuidae. The record is from RefSeq and is a predicted model, not a curated record. The transcript is spliced from 2 exons.